Molecule: ribosomal RNA, 332 nt
Filed under: uncultured eukaryote
Lineage: Eukaryota
Description: partial 18S ribosomal RNA
Rfam family: Eukaryotic small subunit ribosomal RNA
Source: RNAcentral
CCCUUAGAUGUCCUGGGCUGCACGCGCGCUACACUGGAAGUUACGGAUUGAGAUACUACCUAGUCCGAAAUGGUCCGGGUAAUCACCUAAAAGCUUGUCAUAAUUGGAAUGGAUUAUUGUAACUAGUAAUCCUGAACGAGGAAUUCCUAGUAAGUCCCAGUCAACAGCUGGUACUGAUUACGUCCCUGCCCUUUGUACACACCGCCCGUCGCUACUACUGAUUGGACGUUUAAGCAAGAUUUUUAAACACUGACAGUGUGUAGUUCACGCUAUACUACAGUGAGAAGAAGAAGAUCGAGCUUACUUGUCUAGAGGAAGUAAAAGUCGUAACA